UACGUAGGGUGCAAGCGUUAAUCGGAAUUACUGGGCGUAAAGCGUGCGCAGGCGGUUUUGUAAGUCAGAUGUGAAAUCCCCGGGCUCAACCUGGGAACUGCAUUUGUGACUGCAUAGCUAGAGUACGGUAGAGGGGGAUGGAAUUCCGCGUGUAGCAGUGAAAUGCGUAGAGAUGCGGAGGAACACCGAUGGCGAAGGCAGCCCCCUGGGCUGGCACUGACGCUCAGGCACGAAAGCGUGGGGAGCAAACAGG
Molecule: ribosomal RNA, 253 nt
Filed under: uncultured bacterium
Lineage: Bacteria
Description: partial 16S ribosomal RNA
Rfam family: Bacterial small subunit ribosomal RNA
Source: RNAcentral